AUUUGUAUAUAAUUUAGGCUAUUUUAUUUUAACGUCUUGUUUUUAAUACCAUCAAAUGACGGGACUUUCAGUAAGAAGACAUGUAGUGUAUGUCUUGAUUGAUGAAAGCUUACAUGUUAAGGACUUUAUCUAGCGAUUACGAUUUUCACAAAACGUGCAUACAUGACGUUUCACAACGUGCUGAUGUUAACCUCGAGCGUGAGCUCACGAUGACGUGUUUGACAGUUAGCCGGAAGUGAUGGUUUACAUGGUAAAAAGUUGAAUAUGUUAGUUUUCAUAUAUAUACGUAGAUGCCUCAUUAGCAUAUCUACGCUACACACCACAUACCUGCACACAUUCCGCGGAUGGAUUAUUUUUCUACAAAUCUCAUCUGGGUUGCCAUGAGGGUGUCCAGUAUAUCCAGGCAGACACAAACAAUCUCCUGUUAUGUGGUGACAGGAGGAGGGAUGUACACAUGGUGGACAUUGAUGGCUACACCUCUCUCCAAACUUUCCAGCACUGCACACUACAAAAAAGAAGAGAGCACUGUUUAAACCAGCUUUAAUGUGACCUGAUCUCUCAGAGAUGCCGAUGGAUGCACAGAUGGAGUUUUGCCGGACCUCAGAGAGAGCUCAGGCCAGCACUCACACAGGGAUUGGAUUUCGGUCAUGACACAACCUAAACUGAUGACACGUACCCUUUAGGGGUUAAGAAGAGGAAUCCAUCACAGAUACACACACUCAUGCAGAGCAUGUCGAGGAACUCA
This is a long non-coding RNA of Cyprinus carpio (common carp), 745 nucleotides long. RefSeq lists it as uncharacterized. The record is from RefSeq and is a predicted model, not a curated record. Lineage: Eukaryota; Metazoa; Chordata; Actinopteri; Cypriniformes; Cyprinidae. The transcript is spliced from 3 exons.